This is a non-coding RNA of Acanthosepion pharaonis, 110 nucleotides long. Lineage: Eukaryota; Metazoa; Mollusca; Cephalopoda; Sepiida; Sepiidae. The record is from the annotation of a GenBank genome assembly.
UACGACCACGUCACAUUGAAACACCAGUUCCUGUCCGAUCACUGAAGUUAAGCAAUGUCGAGACUGGUCACCUAGAUGGAUGACUGCUUGGAAAUACCAGGUGCUGUAAG